RNAcentral lists this ribosomal RNA (498 nucleotides) under uncultured bacterium. RNAcentral describes it as "partial 16S ribosomal RNA". It matches the Rfam family "Bacterial small subunit ribosomal RNA", at positions 29 to 507 of the family's 1533-position model. The record is from RNAcentral.
AGCGAACGCUGGCGGCGUGCCUAACACAUGCAAGUCGAACGUGAAAAGGGAAACCUGAGUAAAGUGGCGUACGGGUGAGUAACGCGUAGGUAAUCUACCCCAGAAUCUGGAAUAACCUGCCGAAAGGCGGGCUAAUACUGGAUAGAGCGAGGGAACUCGUAAGAGAGUUUUUCGGGAAAGGGAGCCCGCAAGGGCCUUCGUUCUGGGAUGAGCCUGCGUCUCAUUAGCUAGUUGGUAAGGUAACGGCUUACCAAGGCGAUGAUGAGUAGCUGGUCUGAGAGGAUGAUCAGCCACACUGGAACUGAAACACGGUCCAGACUCCUACGGGAGGCAGCAGUGGGGAAUCUUGCGCAAUGGACGAAAGUCUGACGCAGCCACGCCGCGUGAGUGAAGAAGGCCUUCGGGUUGUAAAGCUCUGUCGGAUGGGACGAACAUCUUCAUAGUGAAUAGCUAUGAGGACUGACGGUACCAUCAAAGGAAGCACCGGCUAACUCUGUG